Molecule: ribosomal RNA, 794 nt
Filed under: Eugongylus sp.
Lineage: Eukaryota; Metazoa; Chordata; Lepidosauria; Squamata; Scincidae
Description: partial 16S rRNA
Rfam family: Bacterial large subunit ribosomal RNA
Source: RNAcentral
CACAGCACAUUAAUACAAAUAACAACCACACCAACCAUACUCUUAGUAACCAACAGAGCCACACUAUUCCAAUAGUAGCACUAAUGCUAGAACUAGUAACAAGAAAACUUCUCUAAGCACCCGCGUGACCCAGAAAUAAAAAACAUGCUGGAUACUAACAGACCACAAUAGGCAACAUCUUAAACCUACUGUCAAACCAACACAGGAGUGCCACAAAGACAGGCUAAAAUUUAAAUAAGGAACUCAGCAAACCCUAUCCCAACUGUUUACCAAAAACAUAGCCUUUAGCCCCAAAAGUAUUAAAGGUCCUGCCUGCCCAGUGAACCACUUUAAACGGCCGCGGUAUUCUAACCGUGCAAAGGUAGCGUAAUCACUUGUCUUUUAAAUAAAGACUUGUAUGAACGGCUAAAUGAGGAUAGCCCUGUCUCUUUUAACCAGCCAGUGAAACUGAUCUUCAAGUACAAAAGCUUGAAUACACACAUAAGACGAGAAGACCCUGUGGAGCUUAAAACCAAUACUAUAAAACACUAAAAUAGCGCAAGUUUUAAGUUGGGGCGACUUCGGAAUAAAACAAAACUUCCGAGCACAGAGCCAACCACUCCCACCUAGACCAACAAGUCAAAGAAUCCUCCGACCCAGUAUUACUGAACAACGAACCAAGUUACCCCAGGGAUAACAGCGCCAUCUUCUUCAAGAGUCCAUAUCGACAAGAAGGUUUACGACCUCGAUGUUGGAUCAGGACACCCAAAUGGUGCAGCAGCUAUUAAAGGUUCGUUUGUUCAACGAUUAACAGU